CCUAGCACAUUAUUGUUCUAAAGCAGUUCAAAGGGAAAGUGAAAGUGACUUUCUCAAAUUUAUACAGAAACCCAAGAAGACUAGCAGCAGUCUGGCUAUCAACCAUUGCUGCAAGAUGACGUUGAUCCCUGGUUUAAUAGUUUUUGGUAGCAUACUUGUCAUCUGCUUUAUACAAUGCCUUGCCCAGAGCUCUUCCAGGAAUGGCUUUUCAUUCACCUACAAUCAAACCAAUAACACCAAUAACGUAUAUUUUUCCCAGUCCCCAAUCAUCAUGGAAAACAUAGAGGACAACUCAAUUGGAGAGAGAUAAUCAACAGGAUCAUUCCAGAGAGAUCCAGCAUUCUAAGAAGCAAGCCUAGAGGCUAAAAUAAGUCAUUUCCCUUCCAGAUGUACAUCAUCCCGCUUCUUCCUUUCCUAAAACCCUAGGGAGAUAUCUCUCCCAGUAAGUGCAUUCAAGGGUACAGGUGGAGCUCAGAAGUAGACCCUUGCCUUGCCUGUGUUAGGACUCGAAUGAACCCUAACAACAUGAUAUUCUUUAGCUCAGCCCUGCCAGUCUUCACUAAGAAGAUGAAAAUUCAGCUGGUAUUCAUGCAUUAUGUAGUGUCAGCAUCCAUGUGCAUGGUUUCAUACAUACACCCUGUAUUUGGUUUUCUGCUUGUGAACUUGUAAAGCAGAAAACAACUACCUAGUCAUGCAAUUUUAUUCUUGUUAUCAUUCAUUUAUGUAAUAAAUAUGGAUUGAGCACCUGA
This is a long non-coding RNA of Peromyscus eremicus (cactus mouse), 749 nucleotides long. RefSeq lists it as uncharacterized. Lineage: Eukaryota; Metazoa; Chordata; Mammalia; Rodentia; Cricetidae. The record is from RefSeq and is a predicted model, not a curated record. The transcript has 3 exons.